Gossypium raimondii (Peruvian cotton) is the source of this 897-nucleotide long non-coding RNA. RefSeq lists it as uncharacterized. Lineage: Eukaryota; Viridiplantae; Streptophyta; Magnoliopsida; Malvales; Malvaceae. The transcript has 2 exons. The record is from RefSeq and is a predicted model, not a curated record.
UAGGAUCGAAUGAAUCCUAAAGCCCUGAUGCCAUGAAAAAACUCAGAGGAAAAAAUUCUGUUUCUUUUUCUACUGCUUUAGUUUACAGAUUAUAAAGAGAGGAAUAAUCAUUUUAAAGGAAACAAAUCCUAAUUUCCUAAGAAUCAGUAACUGAGAUUAGUUUCUAUUUACAAGGGAGGUAAGAUUUUCCAACAGAUUUCUAUCCUUAAUUAUAGGGAUUCCAACACAUGGUAUGAUUCUAAGCUUUCGCUACUCUAUGUUUGAGGGCCUAAAACCAUAUAACGACUUAUCAAAAAACCCAUCUCAUACAUACCAAAUGCAGUCCCUAGAGUUAGAUGCCUUCGUAAGUCUAGAUUUAUUCAAGUUUCUGCCAUGUUACUGCUUGAUACAAUGAUUUCCUUGAAGAAAAUCGUAGUAUCUAGUAAUCCUCCAGCCUACUUUCUUAGUUCAUCAAGUUCUUUUGCUCUUAUUUUUCCGAGCUCAGUGGUAAUGAAUGUUGAUCAUGCAGGUUAUUAGGCUAAUGUCAAGAGGCGUCGAUAAUUGUGGUUAUUGAGUUUUGCAGGUCAUAUCUCCGUCAAUGCGGAAGGACAAAGAAAAAAGUUUGGAAAUGAUGCUGUCUGUCCUUCGUGUUGAUCUUACUUAUUCUUCAAUGCGGAAGAACAAAGAAAAAAGUUUGGAAAUGCGGGUAAUAGUGGGUCAUCCAAGAUAUAUACUUACAGGAGAAAUUCAUUGAACACAAGGAAAUUGCCCAACACCCUUAUAGAUGUCAAUGUGUUGUAAGUUUUCACUUGUGAAAACAAUUACAUGUUCAUUCAACAGUUGAUUGAAUACUCUGUAUAAAAACGAAAAGUAAAUUAUAUAAUUUGCAGAAUUUAUGUUGCACAACUGGCAACACAA